This 385-nucleotide long non-coding RNA is filed under the name Elaeis guineensis (African oil palm). RNAcentral describes it as "long non-coding RNA (EGUI_LNC032110)". Lineage: Eukaryota; Viridiplantae; Streptophyta; Magnoliopsida; Arecales; Arecaceae. The record is from RNAcentral.
CCAUUCAAGUCCAUGCGGCGGCUUUACCGUUCAUGGAAAUGACUUGCCCGCUAUACUUGUUGACCCUUGGGCUUAUUGCAUCAUUGCCUUGCUCUUCUUCCAUCAGCCAUGACGUUUGUUUUGAAGGGCCCACAUUAAUUUAUUGUGGUAGUAAGCUUUUACCUACGAAAUAAUUAGGGAUGUCAAUGGAUUGAAUAUGAAUUUGAUCGAUGUACAUCCGUAUCCAUUCUAUAAUUAAAAAUUUCAUAUUCAUAUCUAUCCUGUAUCUAUCUUGGGUCAGAUAAAGUAGAUGGUGCAGAUCGGAUAGAUCAAAUAUGUUGGAUUGGGUCGGAUAAGAUAGAUAAUAUAGGUUAAAUCGAAUAAAGUAGAUGGUGCAAGUCGGAUC